UACAGAGGUCCCAAGCGUUGUUCGGAUUCAUUGGGCGUAAAGGGUGCGUAGGUGGCGUCGUAAGUCGGGUGUGAAAUUUCGGAGCUCAACUCCGAAACUGCAUUCGAUACUGCGGUGCUUGAGGACUGGAGAGGAGACUGGAAUUUACGGUGUAGCAGUGAAAAUGCGUAGAGAUCGUAAGGAAGACCAGUGGCGAAGGCGGGUCUCGUGGACAGUUCCUGACACUGAGGCACGAAGGCCAGGGGAGCAAACGGG
RNAcentral lists this ribosomal RNA (255 nucleotides) under uncultured bacterium. RNAcentral describes it as "partial 16S ribosomal RNA". It matches the Rfam family "Bacterial small subunit ribosomal RNA", at positions 524 to 776 of the family's 1533-position model. The record is from RNAcentral.